Long non-coding RNA from Suricata suricatta (meerkat), 938 nucleotides. RefSeq lists it as uncharacterized. The transcript is spliced from 3 exons. Lineage: Eukaryota; Metazoa; Chordata; Mammalia; Carnivora; Herpestidae. The record is from RefSeq and is a predicted model, not a curated record.
CUGCACAAAAAAUCGAGCUGGGGGGUUCCCUGGUCCCUGGCGACGGGGCGGGGAGCGCCGCGCCACGGGAGGGGGCGGGCGCGGUAGCGCGGGCCCCGCCGAGGGGGGACACCUGGCUGAGGCGCAGCUGCCGCCGCAGCGCUCCGCGCGAACCCAGGGCUCCGGUCCCUGCGCGGGCUCGAGAGUUCGCCCCGACCGGGGGUCUUCCUCCUCCGCCGUUGACAGGCUGCACCCUUAUUUGUUUUCUUCGAACAAUAAAAUAAAUGACUAUCUACUGACAAGUCAUCUAUGGACCCUCGGGCCCACAGUUCCUCCACGUCCGCGGCUGAGCAAAGAAGCUGCACGCACGCGCAAGAAAGGAGGUCUGAGAGACUGAGGAAGCAAAGUGAGAGCGGCGAACAGCGACGAUUCUGCGCAUGUUCAAGGCGCGGAGGUCGGGGUAGGAGUUUGCGCAUGCGCAGAAGUGUCGGGAAAGCAAGAGAAGGGGUAGGAGGCGGUAUUGACAGCUGUGGAGGCAGCCCGCGUUCCCGGCAUGCCCCGGGGCGGCGGGGUUGGCUCUAACGAAUUUGAAUGAGGAGCCUCAGCGCUUUCGGCGCCAUUUUCGAGUGAUGCCUGAUCUCAUCAAUCUAGCGGGAGAGACAGGAUAACCUGUCCGAGAUUGUAGCGCCACUAGGACUCCGCCGAAAAACCACUUAAAAAAUUGUCAAAAAUUACUUCGAGCAAAGGGCAGCUCACGGAGCUUCGCCAGGGUUGGCGCAGACGAUCCCAGUCGUCUUUAAUCGCAGUUUUCCCGGCCCGCAGACGGCCGUCUUCUCGUGACAUGAAACUUGAGGUCGGCGGAAAAUUAAGGACCUGGAGUAUAGUGGGUGCCUCCGGUCCGUCGUGCGGACCUGCAGUCCGCGGGACCCAGCACCGUAUAUUGUGUUAGACGCUGAAGC